This 483-nucleotide ribosomal RNA is filed under the name uncultured bacterium. Its description in RNAcentral is "partial 16S ribosomal RNA". It matches the Rfam family "Bacterial small subunit ribosomal RNA", at positions 28 to 507 of the family's 1533-position model. The record is from RNAcentral.
GACGAACGCUGGCGGCGUGCUUAACACAUGCAAGUCGAACGCUGAAGCUCAGCUUUUGUUGGGUGGAUGAGUGGCGAACGGGUGAGUAACACGUGAGUAACCUGCCUCCUUCUUUGGGAUAACGCCCGGAAACGGGUGCUAAUACUGGAUAUUCACUGGUCUUCGCAUGGGGGUUGGUGGAAAGGGUUUUUCUGGUGGGGGAUGGGCUCGCGGCCUAUCAGCUUGUUGGUGGGGUGAUGGCCUACCAAGGCUUUGACGGGUAGCCGGCCUGAGAGGGUGACCGGGCACAUUGGGACUGAGAUACGGCCCAGACUCCUACGGGAGGCAGCAGUGGGGAAUAUUGCACAAUGGGCGCAAGCCUGAUGCAGCGACGCCGCGUGAGGGAUGGAGGCCGUCGGGUUGUGAACCUCUUUCGCUCAUGGUCAAGCCGCAACAAUGGUUGUGGUGAGGGUAGUGGGUAAAGAAGCGCCGGCUAACUACGUG